Juglans regia (Persian walnut) is the source of this 1018-nucleotide RNA transcript. It is a transcript of the gene named 30S ribosomal protein S17-like, with no coding region annotated. Lineage: Eukaryota; Viridiplantae; Streptophyta; Magnoliopsida; Fagales; Juglandaceae. The record is from RefSeq and is a predicted model, not a curated record. The transcript is spliced from 5 exons.
GGCGCGGCCUCAGUCCCUCACCCAGUCACUCUCGUCUCCCUCCCUCCCUCCCUCAUAAUUUCCAUUUUCCUUCGGCUUCAGGCUUCAAAAAACCCUAGCCUCCACAGGACCACUCUCUCUCUCUCUCUCUCUCUCUCCCUGCGAGUCUCGAUCUCACCCUGCGCAAGUCCCCCCCGACUCUCGUCUCUCUCUCGCCGAGUCGCCGCGCGACCUCACCCUGACCCAGUAACCACCCCCGCAGGCAGCGGUCGACACGGAACAAAUUACAACACAAUAUAAAUAGGCAAACAUUUCAGAUCUAAUUUUGUAAUCAUUUCUGCACUCGGAGCUCACGCAUUGCUCCUGUUCCCUCGAGUCCCUCCUUCUAGCAUCUCAUCCCAAAAGGAAACGGUGCAUCUUGAAGGGUAUCUAAACCUAAAAGUUACAGAGAGAGAGAGAAAGAGGGGCAGAGGAACGGAGAUGAAGCAAGUGGUAGGGAUGGUAGUAUCGAACAAGAUGCAGAAGUCGGUGGUCGUGGCGGUGGAUAGGUUGUUCCAUAGCAAUCUCUACAACCGCUUUGUCAAGCGCACCUCCAAGUUCAUGGCACAUGACGAGCUCAACCAAUGCAACAUCGGAGACCGUGUCCGAUUGGAUCCAUCAAGGCCACUUAGCAAACGUAAGCGUUGGGUUGUUGCUGAAAUCCUCAAGAAAGCCAGAAUUUACGAACCACCCUCCUCUGAUACUCAAUCACCACCACCAUCCUUGCCUAUUUCAACACCCCCCUCCUAAGGUGAUGUUUUAUACAGGACACCUGAAAAGCUGAGAAUAUUGAGUUCUAGAGGACAGCCGGUUCCAAGAGCUGCUCAGUAGCAUCUGCACAAUCCUUGAUGAAAAGUCGAGAUUUCUAUUUUUUUUUUUUUAAUUAUUAUCUGUACCUUUUGAACGGUAUAGACUGAACAGCUAUUGAGAGGGACUUAUAGCAUAAUUUUCUAUUCAGUUCUCUUGACAAUAUCUUUAAUUUCACUUCUGUUCAAAACUA